This 102-nucleotide ribosomal RNA is filed under the name Castor canadensis (American beaver). The record is from RNAcentral. Lineage: Eukaryota; Metazoa; Chordata; Mammalia; Rodentia; Castoridae.
AUCUACAGUCACACCACCCUGAACAUGGCAUCUGAUUACAGGGUCUGGCCUGGUUAAUACUUUGGAUGGGAGACUGCCUGGGAAUAGUGGGUUUUAUAGGUU